UAACACGUGAGCAACCUGCCCCAAGCUUUGGGAUAACCCUCGGAAACGGGGGCUAAUACCGAAUAGGACUUCUGGCCGCAUGGCUGGUGGUGGAAAGUUUUUCGGCUUGGGAUGGGCUCGCGGCCUAUCAGCUUGUUGGUGGGGUGAUGGCCUACCAAGGCGACGACGGGUAGCCGGCCUGAGAGGGCGACCGGCCACACUGGGACUGAGACACGGCCCAGACUCCUACGGGAGGCAGCAGUGGGGAAUAUUGCACAAUGGGCGGAAGCCUGAUGCAGCGACGCCGCGUGAGGGAUGACGGCCUUCGGGUUGUAAACCUCUUUCAGCAGGGACGAAGCGAGAGUGACGGUACCUGCAGAAGAAGCACCGGCCAACUACGUGCCAGCAGCCGCGGUAAGACGUAGGGUGCGAGCGUUGUCCGGAUUUAUUGGGCGUAAAGAGCUCGUAGGCGGCUUGUCGCGUCGACCGUGAAAACUUGGGGCUCAACCCCAAGCCUGCGGUCGAUACGGGCAGGCUAGAGUUCGGUAGGGGAGACUGGAAUUCCUGGUGUAGCGGUGAAAUGCGCAGAUA
Molecule: ribosomal RNA, 570 nt
Filed under: Micromonospora sp. SCAUEA30
Lineage: Bacteria; Bacillati; Actinomycetota; Actinomycetes; Micromonosporales; Micromonosporaceae
Description: bacterial SSU rRNA
Rfam family: Bacterial small subunit ribosomal RNA
Source: RNAcentral